Molecule: long non-coding RNA, 293 nt
Filed under: Numida meleagris (helmeted guineafowl)
Lineage: Eukaryota; Metazoa; Chordata; Aves; Galliformes; Numididae
Description: lncRNA (ENSNMEG00000001177.1)
Source: RNAcentral
UCUCUAUGGGGUCUUUAUGGGGCUUAUGGGGUCUCUGUGGGGUCUCUGUGGGUCGCUAUGGGGUCUCUAUGGGGUCUUUAUGGGGUUCUGUGUGGUUUUAUGGGGUCUCUGUGGGGCUCUGUGGGUCGGUAUGGGUCUCUAUGGGGUCUCUGUGGGUCGCUAUGGGUCUCUAUGGGUCUCUAUGGGUCUCUAUGGGUCUCUAUGGGUCGCUGUGGGUCUCUGUGGGUCGCUAUGGGUCCCGCUAUGGGUCGCUGUGGGGCUGCCCCAUAGUACGCGUCGGUGGAGGAGGCGGC